This 469-nucleotide long non-coding RNA is filed under the name Monodelphis domestica (gray short-tailed opossum). Its description in RNAcentral is "lncRNA (ENSMODG00000049766.1)". The record is from RNAcentral. Lineage: Eukaryota; Metazoa; Chordata; Mammalia; Didelphimorphia; Didelphidae.
CCCUCCCUUCCAGGCGUGGGCCCCUCCUCCCUCCCCCCUCCUGUCCUUUCUCCCGCUAGCUCGUGGCCCCAGCCCCGCCCCCGUCCCCCCACCCCACCCCCCACGGCCGGAUACCGAGGAAGCCUGUCUCGGACACUUUCUUCGGGGAGCCCCGGAAGAGUUCGCUUCGCGCUGCUCUUCUGGUCUCUCUCGGCCCCGGUGGCGGCUGCGGCUGCGGCUCGUUUACCGCCGCUUCGUUUCCCUCCGCUCCGUUCUUCGGGUUUCCGGGCCAUCCUCUGCUUUUGUGCCUUUCGGGCUUCAGCAGAGUGCCCAGCAGAUCCAUGCCACAGAAAAGGGCCCCCCACCAUCUGGUCAUUUACCAAGUCAGAUUGAUUCUCUCUUCACAAACUCUUUCCCACCUGCUUCUUUCGAAGGAUUGGGUUUCGUAACUGACAUUCCUGCCUUGAGGAGUUCCGGUUUCCAAACCUGA